Molecule: ribosomal RNA, 159 nt
Filed under: Telanthophora jaliscana
Lineage: Eukaryota; Viridiplantae; Streptophyta; Magnoliopsida; Asterales; Asteraceae
Also listed under: 1 other name
Description: 5.8S ribosomal RNA
Rfam family: 5.8S ribosomal RNA
About the family: 5.8S ribosomal RNA (5.8S rRNA) is a component of the large subunit of the eukaryotic ribosome. It is transcribed by RNA polymerase I as part of the 45S precursor that also contains 18S and 28S rRNA.
Source: RNAcentral
GACUCUCGGCAACGGAUAUCUCGGCUCACGCAUCGAUGAAGAACGUAGCAAAAUGCGAUACUUGGUGUGAAUUGCAGAAUCCCGUGAACCAUCGAGUUUUUGAACGCAAGUUGCGCCCAAAGCCUUUCGGUCGAGGGCACGUCUGCCUGGGCGUCACAC